RNAcentral lists this ribosomal RNA (238 nucleotides) under uncultured soil bacterium. Its description in RNAcentral is "partial 16S ribosomal RNA". It matches the Rfam family "Bacterial small subunit ribosomal RNA", at positions 26 to 267 of the family's 1533-position model. The record is from RNAcentral.
AGAUUGAACGCUGGCGGCAUGCCUUACACAUGCAAGUCGAACGGCAGCACGGGAGCAAUCCUGGUGGCGAGUGGCGAACGGGUGAGUAAUAUAUCGGAACGUGCCCAGUCGUGGGGGAUAACGCAGCGAAAGCUGUGCUAAUACCGCAUACGAUCUAUGGAUGAAAGCGGGGGAUCGCAAGACCUCGCGCGAUUGGAGCGGCCGAUAUCAGAUUAGCUAGUUGGUGGGGUAAAGCCUA